This 468-nucleotide ribosomal RNA is filed under the name uncultured bacterium. RNAcentral's name for it is "partial 16S ribosomal RNA". It matches the Rfam family "Bacterial small subunit ribosomal RNA", at positions 28 to 507 of the family's 1533-position model. The record is from RNAcentral.
GACGAACGCUGGCGGCGUGCUUAACACAUGCAAGUCGAACGGAAAGGCCCUGCUUUUUUGGGGUGCUCGAGUGGCGAACGGGUGAGUAACACGUGAGUAACCUGCCCUUGACUUUGGGAUAACUUCAGGAAACUGGGGCUAAUACCGGAUAGGAGCUCCUGCUGCAUGGUGGGGGUUGGAAAGUUUCGGCGGUUGGGGAUGGACUCGCGGCUUAUCAGCUUGUUGGUGGGGUAGUGGCUUACCAAGGCUUUGAAGGGUAGCCGGCCUGAGAGGGUGACCGGCCACAUUGGGACUGAGAUACGGCCCAGACUCCAACGGGAGGCAGCAGUGGGGAAUAUUGCACAAUGGGCGGAAGCCUGAUGCAGCAACGCCGCGUGCGGGAUGACGGCCUUAGGGUUGUAAACCGCUUUCGCCUGUGACGAAGCGUGAGUGACGGUAAUGGGUAAAGAAGCACCGGCUAACUACGUG